CAGCUGGACUCAGUUUAGAUGAUCCCAAUUUUGUUGGCAACAUCCAAAGCAUCAUAGUCAGGAGCCAGUCGAACAUACGCUUUCUUUUUCUCCAUCGGGCCUGAUCAGAGUGUUGACCUUGGCCACAUCAAUGUCAUAGAGCUUCUUCACAGCCUGUUUGAUCUGGUGCUUGUUGGCCUUGACGUCCACAAUGAACACAAGAGUGUUGUUGUCUUCUAUUUUCUUCAUGGCUGACUUGGUAGUCAGGGGGAACUUGAUGAUGGCAUAGUGGCCAAGUUUGUUUCUCUUGGGGGCGCUCUUUCAAGGAUAUUUGGGCUGUCCUUGGAGACGCAGUGUCUUGGGCCAUCGGAAUGUAGGUGACGUGCAGAUCUUCUUUUUUUUAUGACUGUGGACACCUUUCAGCACUGCUUUCUUGGCCUUCAAAGCCUUUGCUUUGGCUUCAGCUUUGGGAGGGGCAGGGGCUUCCUUCUUUGCCUUCGGGGCCAUCUUCAUGAAAGGAGGC
This 502-nucleotide long non-coding RNA is filed under the name Lynx pardinus (Iberian lynx). Lineage: Eukaryota; Metazoa; Chordata; Mammalia; Carnivora; Felidae. The record is from RNAcentral.